ACGUGUAUUCUUAGGUAAAUAAUAUGGUGUGUUUUAUUGUUAUUGCUUGAGAAUACACGUAG
This 62-nucleotide microRNA precursor is filed under the name Eisenia fetida (common brandling worm). RNAcentral's name for it is "Efe-Mir-137-P9_pre stem-loop". It matches the Rfam family "mir-137 microRNA precursor family", at positions 8 to 67 of the family's 72-position model. Lineage: Eukaryota; Metazoa; Annelida; Clitellata; Crassiclitellata; Lumbricidae. The record is from RNAcentral.